Molecule: long non-coding RNA, 523 nt
Filed under: Capra hircus (goat)
Lineage: Eukaryota; Metazoa; Chordata; Mammalia; Artiodactyla; Bovidae
Description: lncRNA (ENSCHIG00000007306.1)
Source: RNAcentral
CAGACAGUAAGGGCUACAUGGUCUUGCUGAGCUGUCCACCCAGCAAUUAGAGGGGCAUGAGAAGCUGCACAGUGACAACCACAAGGAAGUCAUCAGCAUGAGUCAUCUGCAAAUAUAGCCAACUCCAUGUCAUCUCCUUGCUUCAGCAGGUGGAUCAUUUAUAUUUUCCCUGGAAGCCAUCCGCUGGUCUAAAUGCUGGGGUUGAUUUGUUUUCCUGUUGCAGGGGAGAAGGUGGUUUUCCCAGAAGGAACUAGAAUAUGCCUGGCUCUGGCAGAGUUCCAGACACAAGAGAAAGACAGGGAGUUUUUGAAGUUCUCUCUCUCCUUCUGUGCAAAUUAAAGGUCCACUCAUCUUUCCAACCCUCCGACCCUGAGAGAAACACACAGCUCAGAUCCUACCAGAUUCCCCCUUGAAGCUUCAAUAUGAAAGUAGUUGUGCAACAGGUUUUGGGAUUUUGUUUGUUUGUUUACAGCAUAUUCUCCAGUCAGAGGUAGGUGGCUUGUACAUAAUAUAUUCUCCAUAA